GCAGCAUCAUGAGUGAAUUGAUCACCAAGCUGAAUCUUACUUAACUCCUAGCUUUAAAAUAAUCGGCAGGAAGGAGAACAAAAAGCCACACGUGUGUUUACACACAGGCACCCCGCCCUGCAGGCCCCAAGGAGAGGUUCAAAUCAAGGCAGCCUUUCCUGUGGGCGUGGGUGAGGUGCCCCGCACAGGAGCCAGCUUUGCACUUAGUGCAGACUAGACAGCCAUGUAGUUUAGCAGGGGCAGCAUUGACAGAAACCAGAGAGCUGUAAAUGCCACACUGGGGUGGCUGGGCCACAUGUGCUAUUAACCAGACAGUCUUGUUCCAUGUCUGGAGUCUGAGCACAUUUUAGGCCCUGGUGGCUGGGCAGCACCCUGUGGGGACCGUUAACCACUUAGCUGAGACCCGUUGAGCAGAUGCCUCUGAAAUCUAUGCUGGUUUGAACCCCCCCUGGGGUAUUUUGUGCUCUUAGGGACACCAUAGUAAUUGAUGUAAUAUGCCUAAGAUGGACUGAAACUGUCUGAUAUUGGAAUAAAUUUAGCCUCACUGGCAAUAACCUACGAAAUACUGGGAUAUACGCACAAAGAUCCAUGUGCCAGGAUAUGUGUUGGAGGAUUUAUAUUUGGAGAAAAUUAAAUGCGCAAUGAGAGAGGGGAAGGCUGAAGCUCAAAGAAGCAAGGCAACUCUCAGGGGUCACAGAAGUGAUAAACUGAGGAGUUGGAAUUCCAGAGUCCAAGCUGGUGACGAGCACCGUGAACUCCUCUUCUCUGGCCACCACUCUACUCUACAACAAAGUCUAUAAAUUAUGGCCAUGGCCAGAUCCAGCUCGCCACCUGUUUCUCUGCUGUUCCCAAGAAGAUGGGAAAACUGACACACAGAAAGGCAAAGGACCCCAUUAAAGUCACACGGCGAGUGAAUGUCAAAGCCAGGACCUGCAGAGGCUAUGGUGGGGGAGAGCACUUGGAGGAGAUGGGAAGGAAUCGUUGCAGGGACAGGUCUCACCCUCACUAGUGCUCACUCCAUUACUUGCCGAAUACACUGGGAGAAACACGCCCCUUCUCUUGACCCGGCUCUUUUCCACAAG
Molecule: long non-coding RNA, 1082 nt
Filed under: Homo sapiens (human)
Lineage: Eukaryota; Metazoa; Chordata; Mammalia; Primates; Hominidae
Description: HSALNT0268735
Source: RNAcentral